GAUGAACGCUGGCGGCAUGCUUUACACAUGCAAGUCGGACGGGAAGUGGUGUUUCCAGUGGCGGCCGGGUGAGUAACGCGUAAGAACCUGCCCUUGGGAGGGGAACAACAGCUGGAAACGGCUGCUAAUACCCCGUAGGCUGAGGAGCGAAAGGAGGAAUCCGCCCAAGGAGGGGCUCGCGUCUGAUUAGCUAGUUGGUGAGGUAAUAGCUUACCAAGGCCGUGAUCAGUAGCUGGUCCGAGAGGAUGAUCAGCCACACUGGGACUGAGACAAGGCCCAGACUCCUACGGGAGGCAGCAGUGGGGAAUUUUCCGCAAUGGGCGAAAGCAUGACGGAGCAAUGCCGCGUGGAGGUAAAAGGCCUACGGGUCAUGAACUUCUUUUCCUGGAGAAGAAACAAUGACGGUAUCUGGGGAAUAAGCAUCGGCUAACUCUGUG
This 437-nucleotide ribosomal RNA is filed under the name uncultured bacterium. Its description in RNAcentral is "partial 16S ribosomal RNA". It matches the Rfam family "Bacterial small subunit ribosomal RNA", at positions 28 to 507 of the family's 1533-position model. The record is from RNAcentral.